Molecule: ribosomal RNA, 460 nt
Filed under: uncultured bacterium
Lineage: Bacteria
Description: partial 16S ribosomal RNA
Rfam family: Bacterial small subunit ribosomal RNA
Source: RNAcentral
CCUACGGGUGGCAGCAGUGAGGAAUAUUGGUCAAUGGACGAGAGUCUGAACCAGCCAAGUAGCGUGAAGGAUGACUGCCCUAUGGGUUGUAAACUUCUUUUAUAUGGGACUAAAAUGUUCCACGUGUGGGAUUUUGUAUGUACCAUAUGAAUAAGGAUCGGCUAACUCCGUGCCAGCAGCCGCGGUAAUACGGAGGAUCCGAGCGUUAUCCGGAUUUAUUGGGUUUAAGGGGAGCGUAGGUGGAUUGUUAAGUAAGUUGUGAAAGUUUGCGGCUCAACCGUUAAAUUGCAGUUGAAACUGGCAGUCUUGAGUACAGUAGAGGUGGGCGGAAUUCGUGGUGUAGCGGUGAAAUGCUUAGAUAUCACGAAGAACUCCGAUUGCGAAGGCAGUUCACUGGACUGCAACUGACACUGAGGCUCGAAAGUGUGGGUAUCAAACAGGAUUAGAUACCCCAGUAGUC